RNAcentral lists this ribosomal RNA (822 nucleotides) under uncultured bacterium. RNAcentral describes it as "bacterial SSU rRNA". It matches the Rfam family "Bacterial small subunit ribosomal RNA", at positions 26 to 850 of the family's 1533-position model. The record is from RNAcentral.
AGGAUGAACGCUAGCGGGAGGCUUAACACAUGCAAGUCGAGGCAGCAUUUACUUCGGUAAGAUGGCGACCGGCGCACGGGUGCGUAACGCGUAUGCAACCUACCUUAUACAGGGGAAUAGCCCAUGGAAACGUGGAUUAAUACCUCAUAGUAUUGUUUUAUCGCAUGAUAUUACAAUUAAAAUUUCGAUGGUAUAAGAUGGGCAUGCGUCUGAUUAGCUAGUUGGUGAGGUAAUGGCUCACCAAGGCAACGAUCAGUAGGGGUUCUGAGAGGAUUAUCCCCCACACUGGUACUGAGACACGGACCAGACUCCUACGGGAGGCAGCAGUGAGGAAUAUUGGUCAAUGGACGAAAGUCUGAACCAGCCAUCCCGCGUGCAGGAUGACGGCCCUAUGGGUUGUAAACUGCUUUUCUACGCCAAGAAACCUACCAACGUGUUGGUAGUUGACGGUAGCGUAGGAAUAAGCACCGGCUAACUCCGUGCCAGCAGCCGCGGUAAUACGGAGGGUGCAAGCGUUAUCCGGAUUCAUUGGGUUUAAAGGGUGCGCAGGCGGGCUUGUAAGUCAGUGGUGAAAUCUUGCCGCUUAACGGUAAAAUUGCCAUUGAUACUGCAGGUCUUGAGUAUGGUUGAGGUAGGUGGAAUGUGUUGUGUAGCGGUGAAAUGCAUAGAUAUGACACAGAACGCCAAUUGCGAAGGCAACUUACUAAGCCAUCACUGACGCUGAGGCACGAAAGCGUGGGUAGCGAACAGGAUUAGAUACCCUGGUAGUCCACGCUGUAAACGAUGUUCACUCGCUGUUUGCGAUACACAGUAAGCGGCUGA